CCACGGAACGUACCUGGAACGAGAUCUGGGAGCGAGGACGGGGGACCCACUCUCCCGGCAGAGAUCGGGCGUCACGACGACGUCCUUGGGGUUAAGUCCCGGCCGAUCACGGAUCGCGUCGGGGCCGGGCAGCCUCUCGCCCGAACCCGACAGCUGACUUCGUAGGCGCGUGGAGAGAGGAAGC
RNAcentral lists this small RNA (184 nucleotides) under Gordonia rhizosphera. RNAcentral describes it as "c-di-AMP sequence". It matches the Rfam family "c-di-AMP riboswitch aptamer (ydaO/yuaA leader)". From Rfam's summary of the family: This family represents a conserved RNA structure found upstream of the ydaO and yuaA genes in Bacillus subtilis and related genes in other bacteria. The ydaO/yuaA element is thought to act as a genetic "off" switch for the ydaO and yuaA genes in its native state. Lineage: Bacteria; Bacillati; Actinomycetota; Actinomycetes; Mycobacteriales; Gordoniaceae. The record is from RNAcentral.